UCUCUUGUUGUUGCUGAAAGUAGUUUCUGCCUAAACCACUUUGACCGCUAUGAAGAAACCUAUCCAACGGUCCACCAUUACAAUCAAAACUUCCACCGUUUUGUGCAAUCUCUGGACUUUUCUCUUUAGGUGUGUUCAUCUCUUGACCGCUCGCUAUUAACCUAUCCAACGACCCAGCAUUACAUUCACGAUCUCGACCGUUGUGAGCAAUCUCUGAACUUUUCUCUUCAGGUCUCUUUGCUGCUACCGCAGCAACUCCUCUCUUAUUAGGAGGCGGACGGGAAGCUACAUUUUCAUUGGGUGCUCCACACAAUUCAGUCUUCACCCAAUCCAUUAAACGCUCUCUAGAAGCCGUAAGCUCAUCAAGCAACGUCUCCAUAAACGUUCCAACACCGUCCGUCCCCAUAACUGUUUCAUCUUUCUUCUUAUUGUCCUCCACACAAACAGUUUUCGGUUUCCUUUUCCUUACUUGCUUAACUUUCUCAGGCUUAGUCUCAUCUUUCUUGCUCCUCCUCUUCCGGGUUUUCACAGGUUGUUCUCUAGUCACAGUUUUUGUUCCAUUAUCAAUCUGAUUCGACUCAAGAUUUGGGUUAUGAAUGAUAGGAUGCUGGGUCGAGUUUGAAUCUGGAUCAUCGCUUGAAGAAUCUUCAAAGUCGUUCUCUUUCCUUCUGAAAUCCCAUUUCUCACUGAAUCUUGGCUCAUCUCCCAUUCUUAAAGAUUCAGUCUAAUUUCACUCUGUUCUUACAGAUUGCACCUUUCUUUCAAAGAUUUUUCAUACAGCUGCAAGAAUAAAAAAACACAACAUGGAUAACUAUAAACAACACAAGUCUGUUGUAGAUCGAAAUGGAUUACGGAUCAGCACAUCAUCAACUUUGUAAAAAGAUGGGAGUGUUCUUCUAAACAAUGGAAUAUUAGGCGAG
This 920-nucleotide long non-coding RNA is filed under the name Arabidopsis thaliana (thale cress). RNAcentral describes it as "natural antisense transcript overlaps with AT5G41320 (AT5G06155)". Lineage: Eukaryota; Viridiplantae; Streptophyta; Magnoliopsida; Brassicales; Brassicaceae. The record is from RNAcentral.